This 254-nucleotide ribosomal RNA is filed under the name uncultured bacterium. Its description in RNAcentral is "partial 16S ribosomal RNA". It matches the Rfam family "Bacterial small subunit ribosomal RNA", at positions 524 to 776 of the family's 1533-position model. The record is from RNAcentral.
UACGUAGGGAGCAAGCGUUGUCCGGAAUCAUUGGGCGUAAAGCGCGCGUAGGCGGCCUCGUAAGUCCGUUGUGAAAGUCAAAGGCUCAACCUUUGAAAGCCGAUGGAUACUGUGAGGCUAGAGUCCGGAAGAGGCGAGUGGAAUUCCUGGUGUAGCGGUGGAAUGCGCAGAUAUCAGGAGGAACACCGGUGGCGAAGGCAGCUCGCUGGGACGUUACUGACACUGAGGCGACGAAAGCGUGGGGAGCGAACAGG